RNAcentral lists this ribosomal RNA (158 nucleotides) under Arthrobotrys sp. 1 RJ2015. Its description in RNAcentral is "5.8S ribosomal RNA". It matches the Rfam family "5.8S ribosomal RNA". From Rfam's summary of the family: 5.8S ribosomal RNA (5.8S rRNA) is a component of the large subunit of the eukaryotic ribosome. It is transcribed by RNA polymerase I as part of the 45S precursor that also contains 18S and 28S rRNA. Lineage: Eukaryota; Fungi; Ascomycota; Orbiliomycetes; Orbiliales; Orbiliaceae. The record is from RNAcentral.
AAACUUUCAACAACGGAUCUCUUGGUUCCCCCAUCGAUGAAGAACGCAGCGAAACGCGAUAGUUAAUGUGAAUUGCAGAAUUCAGUGAAUCAUCGAGUCUUUGAACGCACAUUGCGCCCAUUGGUAUUCCUUUGGGCAUGUCUGUUUGAGCGUCAUUA